Molecule: ribosomal RNA, 432 nt
Filed under: Triticum aestivum (bread wheat)
Lineage: Eukaryota; Viridiplantae; Streptophyta; Magnoliopsida; Poales; Poaceae
Description: partial small subunit ribosomal RNA
Source: RNAcentral
AUGGGUAGGAAAUGCAAAAUACCAAAAAAAUUAGUUGUACCUACUGAACCAAUGGUUGAAGAACCACUCAAAAUCUAUCACACUGCUGAAGCUUAUUACUUGGAUCAUCUUCGAUCCCUAUGUGCUCGUGCUGAAACCCCAACUAGCUUAGUUGAGGGCAAAUCUUUAUAUGAGGAUGCUUGUUAUGUGCAACACCGAAUAUCUGAAAAAGGGAAACUUUUACUGGAUCAAAUUCAUCGUUUGCAAUGCUAUGCUUGGAAUUUAUGUGAAAUAUAUGAUUAUACUUGUUGUUCUGAAAACCCUAAGAAACACCUUCCCUACCAAUGUGAGUUUGUUGAUAAUGGAAUCGUAUCUUCGUAUGCUAAGGGUGUUUAUAAUUACUAUGAUGUUCAACAAAUUGAAGAAUUUGUUGCUUUUAAGGGUGCUUUUUAA